AGAGUUUGAUCAUGGUUCAGAACGAACGCUGGCGGCAGGCUUAACACAUGCAAGUCGAGCGCUCGCAGCAAUGCGGGAGCGGCAGACGGGUGAGUAACGCGUGGGAACGUACCCUCCGGUUCGGAAUAACUCAGGGAAACUUGAGCUAAUGCCGGAUACGGCUGAGAGGCGAAAGAUUUAUCGCCGGGGGGAUCGGCCCGCGUCCGAUUAGCUAGUUGGUGGGGUAACGGCUCACCAAGGCGACGAUCGGUAGCUGGUCUGAGAGGAUGAUCAGCCACAUUGGGACUGAGACACGGCCCAAACUCCUACGGGAGGCAGCAGUGGGGAAUAUUGGACAAUGGGCGCAAGCCUGAUCCAGCCAUGCCGCGUGAGUGAUGACGGCCUUAGGGUUGUAAAGCUCUUUCGCCAGGGACGAUAAUGACGGUACCCGGAUAAGAAGCCCCGGCUAACUUCGUGCCAGCAGCCGCGGUAAUACGAAGGGGGCUAGCGUUGUUCGGAAUUACUGGGCGUAAAGCGCGUGUAGGCGGGUCUUUAAGUCAGGGGUGAAAUGCCAAGGCUCAACCUUGGAACUGCCUUUGAUACUGGAGAUCUUGAGUCCGGGAGAGGUGAGUGGAACUGCGAGUGUAGAGGUGAAAUUCGUAG
Molecule: ribosomal RNA, 642 nt
Filed under: uncultured bacterium
Lineage: Bacteria
Description: bacterial SSU rRNA
Rfam family: Bacterial small subunit ribosomal RNA
Source: RNAcentral